Molecule: ribosomal RNA, 1571 nt
Filed under: Clostridioides difficile
Lineage: Bacteria; Bacillati; Bacillota; Clostridia; Peptostreptococcales; Peptostreptococcaceae
Description: partial 23S ribosomal RNA
Rfam family: Bacterial large subunit ribosomal RNA
Source: RNAcentral
GGUCAAGUUAUUAAGGGUGCAGGGCGGAUGCCUUGGCACUAGGAGCCGAUGAAGGACGUGAUAAGCUGCGAUAAGCUUCGGGGAGUUGCACGUAAACUUUGAUCCGAAGAUUUCCGAAUGAGGAAACUCACUUAGAGUAAUGUCUAAGUAUCAUUAAGUGAAUACAUAGCUUAAUGAGGGGAACUCAGGGAACUGAAACAUCUAAGUACCUGAAGGAAGAGAAAGAAAUUCGAUUCCGUAAGUAGCGGCGAGCGAACGCGGAUUAGCCCAAACCAAUAAAGUUUUCUUUAUUGGGGUUGCGGACAUAUCAUAACGAAGAGGUAUCGUAAUUGAAGAGGUUUGGAAAGACCCACCACAGAAGGUAAUAGUCCUGUAUGUUAAACGAGAAGACUUCAGAUAUGAUCCAGAGUACCACGGGACACGUGAAACCCUGUGGGAAGCAGGAGGGACCACCCUCCAAGGCUAAAUACUACCUAGUGACCGAUAGCGUAUAGUACCGUGAGGGAAAGGUGAAAAGAACCCCGGGAGGGGAGUGAAAUAGAACCUGAAACCCUGCACUUACAAGCUGUGGAAGCACAUUUCUUGUGUGACCGCGUACUUUUUGUAGAACGGGCCAACGAGUUACGUUAAGUAGCAAGGUUAAGCACUUAAGGUGUGGAGCCGUAGCGAAAGCGAGUUUUAACUGAGCGUUCAGUUACUUGACGUAGACCCGAAACCGGGCGACCUACCCAUGAGCAGGAUGAAGCGAAAGUAAAAUUUCGUGGAGGUCCGAACCCACGAGCGUUGAAAAGCUCGGGGAUGACUUGUGGGUAGCGGUGAAAUUCCAAUCGAGCCCGGAGAUAGCUGGUUCUCCCCGAAAUAGCUUUAGGGCUAGCCUCAAGGUGAGAGAUACGGAGGUAGAGCACUGAAUGUCCUAGGGGGUAUUGCACCUACCGAAGACUAUCAAACUCCGAAUGCCGUCAUCUUAUACUUGGGAGUCAGACUGUGGGUGAUAAGAUUCAUAGUCGAAAGGGCAACAGCCCAGAUCGUCAGCUAAGGUCCCUAAAUGUAAGUUAAGUGGUAAAGGAUGUGGGAUUGCACAGACAACCAGGAUGUUGGCUUAGAAGCAGCCACUCAUUCAAAGAGUGCGUAAUAGCUCACUGGUCGAGUGAUCCUGCGCCGAAGAUUUCCGGGGCUAAAACUUACUACCGAAGCUACGGCAUCAGUAAUGAUGGGUAGGGGAGCUUCCCAUACGGGUUGAAGCAUGACCGUAAGGACAUGUGGACAGUAUGGGAGUGAGAAUGUUGGCAUGAGUAGCGAGAUGUGGGUGAGAAUCCCACAGGCCGUAAACCCAAGGUUUCCAGGGGAAGGUUCGUCCGCCCUGGGUUAGUCGGGACCUAAGCUGAGGCCGAAAGGCGUAGGUGAUGGACAACAGGUUGAUAUUCCUGUACUACCGAUAACCGUUUGAGAGAAGGGAUGACACAGUAGGAUAAGCUAAGCACACUGUUGGUUAUGUGUGCCCAAGCAUUGAGGCAGUCAAAGUAGGCAAAUCCGCUUUGAUAAUGCUGGGAUGUGAUGGGGAGCGAAAUUUA